CACUCCUACGGGAGGCAGCAGUGGGGAAUUUUGGACAAUGGGCGAAAGCCUGAUCCAGCAAUGCCGCGUGAGUGAAGAAGGCCUUCGGGUUGUAAAGCUCUUUUGUCAGGGAAGAAACGGUGAAAGCUAAUAUCUUUUGCUAAUGACGGUACCUGAAGAAUAAGCACCGGCUAACUACGUGCCAGCAGCCGCGGUAAUACGUAGGGUGCAAGCGUUAAUCGGAAUUACUGGGCGUAAAGCGUGCGCAGGCGGUUUUGUAAGUCUGAUGUGAAAUCCCCGGGCUCAACCUGGGAAUUGCAUUGGAGACUGCAAGGCUAGAAUCUGGCAGAGGGGGGUAGAAUUCAACGUGUAGCAGUGAAAUGCGUAGAUAUGUGGAGGAACACCGAUGGCGAAGGCAGCCCCCUGGGUCAAGAUUGACGCUCAUGCACGAAAGCGUGGGGAGCAAACAGGAUUAGAUACCCCUGUAGUCCCAUGA
RNAcentral lists this ribosomal RNA (475 nucleotides) under uncultured organism. RNAcentral's name for it is "partial 16S ribosomal RNA". It matches the Rfam family "Bacterial small subunit ribosomal RNA", at positions 334 to 800 of the family's 1533-position model. The record is from RNAcentral.